GACCUCGGAUCAGGUAGGAAUACCCGCUGAACUUAAGCAUAUCAAUAAGCGGAGGAGAAGAAACCAACAGGGAUUACCUCAGUAACGGCGAGUGAAGCGGUAAUAGCUCAAAUUUGAAAUCUGGCUCUUUCAGGGUCCGAGUUGUAAUUUGUAGAGGAUGUUUCGGGCACGGUUACGGUUUAAAUUUCUUGGAACAGAAUGUCAAAGAGGGUGAGAGUCCCGUCUUGAACCGAUUACUUCGUCCAUGUGAAACUCCUUCGACGAGUCGAGUUGUUUGGGAAUGCAGCUCAAAAUGGGUGGUAAAUUUCAUCUAAAGCUAAAUAUUGGCCAGAGACCGAUAGCGCACAAGUAGAGUGAUCGAAAGAUGAAAAGCACUUUGAAAAGAGAGUUAAACAGUAUGUGAAAUUGUUGAAAGGGAAGCGC
This 423-nucleotide ribosomal RNA is filed under the name uncultured fungus. Its description in RNAcentral is "eukaryotic LSU rRNA". It matches the Rfam family "Eukaryotic large subunit ribosomal RNA", at positions 1 to 422 of the family's 3401-position model. Lineage: Eukaryota; Fungi. The record is from RNAcentral.